GGUGAUACCGCUUUUGAAACAGACACACAAUAAGCCCAUACUUCAUCUCUUUUCUUUAAAUAUUUGGAUUCGUUUCUAAUUAAACUAGGUCUAUCCGAGAUAUAUUUGACAAGUGUGUCAUGACACUCUUUGCCUUCUUGAACAAGCUCCUUGCAACAAGGAAUGGAUACAACUCCAUCUCCAAAAACUUGAGAAAUGAUCGUGAGCGCACAGUUUGGACUGAUUUUAACAAUACAUUGAUCCCAUAACUUUUUUGGCUCAUUUUCUUCUACAGCUAAUGAAGAUACACAUAUAAUCGCCACAACUAGAACAACAAAAGACAACAUAAUAAAGUUAAUCUUCGCCAUGGUUUUUACGUGUUUGAGGAUUUACAGUUUAACUUUUUUCAAGUUAGAGAAAGAAAUAA
Molecule: long non-coding RNA, 406 nt
Filed under: Brassica napus (rape)
Lineage: Eukaryota; Viridiplantae; Streptophyta; Magnoliopsida; Brassicales; Brassicaceae
Description: long non-coding RNA (BNAP_LNC006303)
Source: RNAcentral